GUGGGGAAUAUUGGACAAUGGGCGAAAGCCUGAUCCAGCCAUGCCGCGUGUGUGAAGAAGGUCUUCGGAUUGUAAAGCACUUUAAGUUGGGAGGAAGGGUAGUAACCUAAUACGUUGCUACUUUGACGUUACCGACAGAAUAAGCACCGGCUAACUUCGUGCCAGCAGCCGCGGUAAUACGAAGGGUGCAAGCGUUAAUCGGAAUUACUGGGCGUAAAGCGCGCGUAGGUGGUUCAGUAAGUUGGAGGUGAAAUCCCCGGGCUCAACCUGGGAACUGCCUCCAAAACUGCAUGACUAGAGUACGGUAGAGGGUAGUGGAAUUUCCUGUGUAGCGGUGAAAUGCGUAGAUAUAGGAAGGAACACCAGUGGCGAAGGCGACUACCUGGACUGAUACUGACACUGAGGUGCGAAAGCGUGGGGAGCAAACAGGAUUAGAAACCCUGGUAGUCC
This 450-nucleotide ribosomal RNA is filed under the name uncultured bacterium. RNAcentral's name for it is "partial 16S ribosomal RNA". It matches the Rfam family "Bacterial small subunit ribosomal RNA", at positions 354 to 796 of the family's 1533-position model. The record is from RNAcentral.